RNAcentral lists this ribosomal RNA (496 nucleotides) under uncultured bacterium. RNAcentral's name for it is "partial 16S ribosomal RNA". It matches the Rfam family "Bacterial small subunit ribosomal RNA", at positions 29 to 507 of the family's 1533-position model. The record is from RNAcentral.
AUGAACGCUGGCGGCGUGCCUAAUACAUGCAAGUCGAGCGAACAGAUGAGGAGCUUGCUCCUCUGACGUUAGCGGCGGACGGGUGAGUAACACGUGGAUAACCUACCUAUAAGACUGGGAUAACUUCGGGAAACCGGAGCUAAUACCGGAUAAUAUAUUGAACCGCAUGGUUCAAUAGUGAAAGGCGGUUUUGCUGUCACUUAUAGAUGGAUCCGCGCCGCAUUAGCUAGUUGGUAAGGUAACGGCUUACCAAGGCAACGAUGCGUAGCCGACCUGAGAGGGUGAUCGGCCACACUGGAACUGAGACACGGUCCAGACUCCUACGGGAGGCAGCAGUAGGGAAUCUUCCGCAAUGGGCGAAAGCCUGACGGAGCAACGCCGCGUGAGUGAUGAAGGUCUUCGGAUCGUAAAACUCUGUUAUUAGGGAAGAACAAAUGUGUAAGUAACUAUGCACGUCUUGACGGUACCUAAUCAGAAAGCCACGGCUAACUACGUG